CCUACGGGAGGCAGCAGUGAGGAAUAUUGGUCAAUGGGCUUACGCCUGAACCAGCCAAGUCGCGUGAGGGAAGACUGCCCUAUGGGUUGUAAACCUCUUUUGUCAGGGAGCAACGCCGGCUACGUGUAGCCGGACUGAGAGUACCUGCAGAAAAAGCAUCGGCCAACUCCGUGCCAGCAGCGGCGGUAAUACGUAGGAUGCGAGCGUUAUCCGGAUUUAUGGGGUUUAAAGGGUGCGUAGGCGGAAUGCCAAGUCAGCGGUAAAAUGUCGGGUCUCAACCUCGCUCCGACGUUGAAACGGGCGUUCUUGAGUGGGCGAGAAGUAUGCGGAAUGCGUGGUGUAGCGGUGAAAUGCAUAGAUAUCACGCAGAACUCCGAUUGCGAAGGCAGCAUACCGGCGCCCAACUGACGCUGAAGCACGAAAGCGUGGGUAUCGAACAGGAUUAGAUACCCUAGUAGUC
RNAcentral lists this ribosomal RNA (460 nucleotides) under uncultured bacterium. Its description in RNAcentral is "partial 16S ribosomal RNA". It matches the Rfam family "Bacterial small subunit ribosomal RNA", at positions 338 to 795 of the family's 1533-position model. The record is from RNAcentral.